RNAcentral lists this ribosomal RNA (543 nucleotides) under Cortinarius minutulus. RNAcentral's name for it is "eukaryotic LSU rRNA". The stretch from base 145 to 298 matches the Rfam family "5.8S ribosomal RNA". Lineage: Eukaryota; Fungi; Basidiomycota; Agaricomycetes; Agaricales; Cortinariaceae. The record is from RNAcentral.
GUGCUGCUGGUUCUCUAGGGAGCAUGUGCACACCUUGUCAUCUUUAUAUCUCCACCUGUGCACUUUUUGUAGACCUUUCAGGUCUAUGUUGCUUCAUUUACCCCAAUGUAUGUUAAUAGAAUGUUGUGCCUAUAUAAUAUAUACAACUUUCAGCAACGGAUCUCUUGGCUCUCGCAUCGAUGAAGAACGCAGCGAAAUGCGAUAAGUAAUGUGAAUUGCAGAAUUCAGUGAAUCAUCGAAUCUUUGAACGCACCUUGCGCUCCUUGGUAUUCCGAGGAGCAUGCCUGUUUGAGUGUCAUUAAUAUAUCAACCUUCUCUUUUUUGAGUUGUUUGGAUGUGGGGGUUUGCUGGCCUCUUAAAUGAUUCAGCUCCCCUGAAAUGCAUUAGCAGAACAACCUGUUCAUUGGCGUGAUAAUUAUCUAUGCUAUUGAAUGUGAGGGCAGUUCAGCUUUCUAACCGUCCUCGGACAAUUCAUCAUUAAUGUGACCUCAAAUCAGGUAGGACUACCCCGCUGAACUUAAGCAUAUCAAUAAGCNGGAGGAA